GAAAUUUACAUUGCGACAUUUCCAUAGAUAAAACUGCUGGCAUCGAGUUUUUUAUAUUUCUAAAACGGAUUUGAAAUUCGAUGCAUUUGAUUUUAUUUCGAUAUUAUAAAAAGUGAUACAAGACCUUUUGGACAUGGUUGUUUUGUUGUACGCAUCUAGCGUCAUGAGUCUUCGCUUGAGUUUCUUCUGUUUCGCGUUUAACUUGUGUUUUCUCUAUACGUCGGUUGCUAGGGUACGUGUUUCGCUCUAAUAUGGAAGCGUGUUCUCGUAGAAUUCUAUGUUUUUUCAUACCAAGUUGUCUGCGAAUACGUUGCUUGAAUUCUUUGUAGUGCAUUGCACGGAACAUGAGGUUAUUUCGGCUAACCACAGUGCUCGAGAACGUUCAGCCUUUUGCGUCGCGAAGACCUCCUCUCACGUGUGACAUGUGUAUAAUGACAGGCGCCGUCAAAUGUGUGUUUAUAUACAGUCGAUGUAACCUCUCAGCCAAGAUCGACUUUAUUUGAGAUGAGAAGUAGUAUGCCUCUACCUCGCGACUCCAGAACGACUAGCCGCUCUGGAGAGACCUGACGUUAGUUGCGAUCGA
This is a non-coding RNA of Paramuricea clavata, 583 nucleotides long. The record is from the annotation of a GenBank genome assembly. NCBI's taxonomy places the organism in Eukaryota, Metazoa, Cnidaria, Anthozoa, Malacalcyonacea, Plexauridae.